GCCUUACACAUGCAAGUCGAACGGCAGCACGGGUGCUUGCACCUGGUGGCGAGUGGCGAACGGGUGAGUAAUACAUCGGAACAUGUCCUGUAGUGGGGGAUAGCCCGGCGAAAGCCGGAUUAAUACCGCAUACGAUCUACGGAUGAAAGCGGGGGACCUUCGGGCCUCGCGCUAUAGGGUUGGCCGAUGGCUGAUUAGCUAGUUGGUGGGGUAAAGGCCUACCAAGGCGACGAUCAGUAGCUGGUCUGAGAGGACGACCAGCCACACUGGGACUGAGACACGGCCCAGACUCCUACGGGAGGCAGCAGUGGGGAAUUUUGGACAAUGGGCGAAAGCCUGAUCCAGCAAUGCCGCGUGUGUGAAGAAGGCCUUCGGGUUGUAAAGCACUUUUGUCCGGAAAGAAAUCCUUGGCUCUAAUACAGUCGGGGGAUGACGGUACCGGAAGAAUAAGCACCGGCUAACUACGUGCCAGCAGCCGCGGUAAUACGUAGGGUGCGAGCGUUAAUCGGAAUUACUGGGCGUAAAGCGUGCGCAGGCGGUUUGCUAAGACCGAUGUGAAAUCCCCGGGCUCAACCUGGGAACUGCAUUGGUGACUGCACGGCUGGAGUGCGGCAGAGGGGGAUGGAAUUCCGCGUGUAGCAGUGAAAUGCGUAGAUAUGCGGAGGAACACCGAUGGCGAAGGCAAUCCCCUGGGCCUGCACUGACGCUCAUGCACGAAAGCGUGGGGAG
This 729-nucleotide ribosomal RNA is filed under the name uncultured bacterium. Its description in RNAcentral is "bacterial SSU rRNA". It matches the Rfam family "Bacterial small subunit ribosomal RNA", at positions 46 to 768 of the family's 1533-position model. The record is from RNAcentral.